UACGUAGGGGGCAAGCGUUGUCCGGAAUCAUUGGGCGUAAAGCGCGCGUAGGCGGCCCGGUAAGUCCGCUGUAAAAGUCCAGGGCUCAACCCUGGAACGCCGGUGGAUACUGCCUGGCUAGAGUCCGGAAGAGGAGAAUGGAAUUCCCGGUGUAGCGGUGAGAUGCGCAGAUAUCGGGAAGAACACCCGUGGCGAAGGCGGUUCUCUGGGACGGUACUGACGCUGAGACGCGAAAGCGUGGGGAGCGAACAGG
RNAcentral lists this ribosomal RNA (253 nucleotides) under uncultured bacterium. RNAcentral's name for it is "partial 16S ribosomal RNA". It matches the Rfam family "Bacterial small subunit ribosomal RNA", at positions 524 to 776 of the family's 1533-position model. The record is from RNAcentral.